Equus quagga is the source of this 659-nucleotide long non-coding RNA. RefSeq lists it as uncharacterized. The transcript has 3 exons. The record is from RefSeq and is a predicted model, not a curated record. NCBI's taxonomy places the organism in Eukaryota, Metazoa, Chordata, Mammalia, Perissodactyla, Equidae.
UAUACAACUAUGUUCUGGGGGACUUUGGAGAGAAGAAGAAAAAAAAAAAGGAAAAGGUAAGACAUAAAUGAAGCAUGCUCUUUCCUGUCAGGUGGACGGUCUGGAUUUAUAUGCAUGACCCUCUGUAGACAAGAGCUGGCCUGCCUCCAAGUCUGCUGGCCUGGUCCUGAGUGCAGGAGGAAGUGCUGCCAAUGACCUCCUUGACUGUGUCGGCAGGUCAUUUUCACUGUGCAGAUCCUGCAGGUUGACUGACAGCCACACCUCUGCAGGAAUCUGAGCUGUACUAGAAAAUUGUCUGGAAUACAUCUGUUUUAAGCUGAACUUUCACAAACUGCUUUCUCGGACACCGAGACCGUCAGGUUUUCACGCAGGAACAUUUCCAUGCCCAUAGCAGGUGGCAUCUCCUAUGAGUGGACCCCAUGGCUAUGGUGCCUUCCCACCUAUCCAUGAAAUUGGUGGGCAGAGGGACAGUUUCAGGAACAUGGCUACAGGACCCUGGAGAGAAGAGAAAGCAAAGACAGGGUGGAGGCAUGGACGUCACAAACGUCAAACCACUUCUCUGAGAUGGACUGCUUUGGAAAUAGGCCAUUUGAAGGAAGCCAGGGGUGCUGCUGUCUGUCCUUGUCAUUAACGACUUUCCAAUAUGCUUUGCCUUUGAA